GCCGGGAUGGCGUAAUGGCAGCCGCAGUGGACUUAAAAUCCAUUGGGAGUAAUCCCGUGCGGGUUCGAGUCCCGCUCCCGGCA
Molecule: transfer RNA, 83 nt
Filed under: Chloroflexota bacterium
Lineage: Bacteria; Bacillati; Chloroflexota
Also listed under: 2 other names
Description: tRNA-Leu
Rfam family: tRNA
About the family: Transfer RNA (tRNA) molecules are approximately 80 nucleotides in length.
Source: RNAcentral